AUAGUCAUGGCCGACGCGGGUCAAAGCGUAGUAUCGGUUCUUAUCAGCUCAAUAUCUGGUACGGGUUGUAUUUGGACCUAAGACAUUAAAUUUAAUUUUGAAAGUUGGCGGUGUGCUUAAGCCCUGCUUCACCUCCGCCGCAGGUCGGGCCUGGUAUUACACUAUUUUCGGGAUUGGCCCAGGUACG
Molecule: small nuclear RNA, 187 nt
Organism: Dermacentor andersoni
Lineage: Eukaryota; Metazoa; Arthropoda; Arachnida; Ixodida; Ixodidae
Product: U2 spliceosomal RNA
Source: RefSeq, a predicted model, not a curated record